This 2816-nucleotide long non-coding RNA is filed under the name Nicotiana benthamiana. RNAcentral's name for it is "long non-coding RNA (NBEN_LNC020759)". Lineage: Eukaryota; Viridiplantae; Streptophyta; Magnoliopsida; Solanales; Solanaceae. The record is from RNAcentral.
CCCCCCCCCCCAAAUUUCAUCUCUCUUUAUUUUCAUCGUCUCCUUUAGAUAACGCCCUAAUCCGCCACCUCGAAUCUCUCACCCUCUUCGGUGGCGUCACCACCUCCAAUCAACCCCAAAUUCACAACCCAAGAUCCUCACAAUCUCCCCUUUCCCAGUCCCUAAUCAGUUUCCCUCAAAUUGCACUAGAAUCUCUUGAAUCUUCAGUUAAAAUAAUUUGAUCCCAAACCCUAAAAUCAAAAAUCUUCCAAAUUGGCAACCUUUAGUGAAGGAUUGGGGCUAAAGUUGAUUUUAUUCGCGUGUUCUCGUUGAGAACACAAGAUUAAUUUCCAUCGCAGUCAAAAUCAAUGGCUCCAGGAGUCGUUCAAGCCCUUGUCUGCCUUUGUUUAGGUAUUUCAGUAUUCUCUAUAUUUCAUUUUUUUAUUUUAAUUCCUAGUUCUUCAUCUUCUUAUGUUUCUUCUCCUUUUUUUUUCUUUUUAUUAUAAAAUCUUUUCUACAUGUCUGUUACUUGUGGCUAGUAUAUUUUGUUUGCCCCUUUUCUUGAAUCUCUCUGUUGGGCUCUCGAUUUGAACUUGGGUUCUAAAAGUCAGAACCCCAAUGAUAGGAAUUAAACUAGAUUUUGCAAGCCCAGGUUUGGGUUUGAGUCUUGGAUUAAAUUGACCCAUAUUUGGUCUUGACGGUAAAUAAUAGGGUUUGAAAUGUAAGUUUAGGAAUUUAAUCAUGGGAAAUCUUAAAUAACUAAUCUAGGAAAUUUCCUGGAAAGUGGGUUUGGGAAAAUUUUAGAAAACAGAUUUUUUAACUUAGGACUACUUGCAAGAAUGAAAAUUUGAAAAGGGUAAUUGGCAAAUAACUUGGCCCAUUCUAUGCUGCCCUAGUUUCUCCCUAUAAAGGCAUUGUUUCCUUCAUAGCGGACAGAUUUUAGAGAAUUAACAACAAUAACACCUCUAGGGAUGGCUGAACUUCUUCUAGACUCUAAAAAAACUAAAAUUUUCUUAGAGUUUGCUUGUUUCUGCUCCUUGAGUUUUCUUUUAGUCAGAUUUUUCAAUAGCUCUCAAAAUUUGUAUUAAUUCUUGGUUCAAAGCUAGUUCAAAAGGCUGAAUAGUUGUUGUUUGUUUGGCUUCUUUUGUUGCUGAUACUUUAUUGGUGUCCUUUUCUUAAUUUUGAGCUCAUUUCCUUGUUGUUUUUUUGCUGCUGUAAUCAGGUACACAUCUCUGAUUUUGAACAUGUAAGAAUGGCUCGUUUGAUUUGAGGAAAUGAAGAUCUCCAUACUUACUUGAUGUUUUCUAUUAUCUUUUCGUUCAACCUGUUAGUUCAUUUUAUUUGUUUUAACAUGCCAAGAAAUUAUUUUAUGACAUGUGUUGAGGGUUGUAUUUGGACUCUUAUUUGUGCUUGUAGCUUCAGCUUUCUUUUGAAUUCUUUCUCCUAAAUUUCUGAUACUUGUACUGUCAUGUAUGAGCUCAGUGUGGGAUAGUUAGUCUCACUUUAGGUUUUUUUGAGUAAGAUAUUACAAUCUUAGUGAUAUUAAAAUUCCAAAGUAAUCUCCACAAAUGAUUUAGUCUGUUUCGAGUUUUGUCCUUUAAAAAUAAAUAAACUCUUUCAGUUUAAUCUGUAUCAUUGGUAUGUGCAUAUCUUUGAAAUCAUAUUAAGUGUUUUGACUAAAAAUUGGAUUUCAUUACAUUUUGAUAGGAGAGAACAACUAUGUAUAAAUUGUGAUAAGGCUGAACAUUGCAGCAUAGUAUUAAGAUUGGAUUUCAGUUUAUGUUAAAAAUGUGCAAAAGAAAACUUGGGCUAGCAUGAGGCAACGUGGCUGCUGGGCCUCGAAUGAGGCCAGACAUAUGCCCAAGUCGAAUUUUAUUUUAAUUAGAUUUGAUGUUUUAACUCAAAGUUGUCUUAUGUCAAUUUCAGGUUUCUGUUCAUAUGGUGUCAAUCAGGUUUAAUUAUGAUUUUGAUUUUCGUAUCACUGUUUAGUUUGGGAUUAAAACUAAAGUUGAAUGUUGGAUAGUUUUUGUGUUUUUAUGACAUUAAUAUAAAUGAACACAAAUAGUUUUUUCAUUAAAAAAUGUAAUAUGGUUUAGUAAUGCCCAAAGGCCUUUUAGAUUGUUGUUGUGUAUUGAUGAAGUUCAAUUAAGAUUAACUGGUAUUCUUGAGUUUAAAUAUUGAUUUUUUUUCUUUGAAAGGACUUGAGCUUGAGUCCUUGAUUCUUGAGCAUUUGCCUUAAAUUAAAUUUGGGCUCCCUUUGGGCCCAAUGAUUAAUUUGAAUGCUGCGGCCAGUGGCGUCCAUGCAUGCGUGGCCCAAGUGCCUGUAGACCAGCCGUGUUUUUUAGUGAUUGUGCAAACAAUAAUUUCAAAUUUUGUUGGUUUAAAUAUUUUUUUUACAUAAGUUAAGGUGUGCCAUAUUAAAUAAUACCAAUAGUUUAUGCCCCCGUAAUAUUAAAAUAAGAUAUCCUUAGAACAAUUAUACUUGAGGCAUGCCAAAUUAGGCAAGAUAUAACUUAGGGACCUCAAAAGAUUAGUUCAAACUUCUUUUAAAUAUUAGACUUGGGGUAUGCCAUAGUGCAAGAUUAGAUAAACCGUGGCCCUCGAAUAAUUAAUAACGACUACUUAGAAAUCGAAGUGUGCCAUUAUUUGAAUUUUUCAUGACGCUCGCAAGCCUUGUUAUCACCUUAAAAGUGUGUAGUUGCUUUAGAUGUGCUAUUUUUAUAUUAGUUUCUUAAAUUCGGGUGUGCAUUUCAUGUAACCUGACACCAAUUUUUAACAAUUUUAAAUAAAAUGUGUCGUGGACUGUGGGUGCAUUUCAUGUGGCGUGGUUCAAGAUG